Molecule: ribosomal RNA, 626 nt
Filed under: Streptococcus sp. oral taxon 058
Lineage: Bacteria; Bacillati; Bacillota; Bacilli; Lactobacillales; Streptococcaceae
Description: bacterial SSU rRNA
Rfam family: Bacterial small subunit ribosomal RNA
Source: RNAcentral
GCAAUGGACGGAAGUCUGACCGAGCAACGCCGCGUGAGUGAAGAAGGUCUUCGGAUCGUAAAGCUCUGUUGUAAGAGAAGAACGAGUGUGAGAGUGGAAAGUUCACACUGUGACGGUAUCUUACCAGAAAGGGACGGCUAACUACGUGCCAGCAGCCGCGGUAAUACGUAGGUCCCGAGCGUUGUCCGGAUUUAUUGGGCGUAAAGCGAGCGCAGGCGGUUAGAUAAGUCUGAAGUUAAAGGCUGUGGCUUAACCAUAGUACGCUUUGGAAACUGUUUAACUUGAGUGCAAGAGGGGAGAGUGGAAUUCCAUGUGUAGCGGUGAAAUGCGUAGAUAUAUGGAGGAACACCGGUGGCGAAAGCGGCUCUCUGGCUUGUAACUGACGCUGAGGCUCGAAAGCGUGGGGAGCAAACAGGAUUAGAUACCCUGGUAGUCCACGCCGUAAACGAUGAGUGCUAGGUGUUAGACCCUUUCCGGGGUUUAGUGCCGCAGCUAACGCAUUAAGCACUCCGCCUGGGGAGUACGACCGCAAGGUUGAAACUCAAAGGAAUUGACGGGGGCCCGCACAAGCCGUGGAGCAUGUGGUUUAAUUCGAAGCAACGCGAAGAACCUUACCAGGUCUUGAC